Passer montanus (Eurasian tree sparrow) is the source of this 508-nucleotide long non-coding RNA. RefSeq lists it as uncharacterized. The transcript has 3 exons. The record is from RefSeq and is a predicted model, not a curated record. NCBI's taxonomy places the organism in Eukaryota, Metazoa, Chordata, Aves, Passeriformes, Passeridae.
AAAGGGCGGAGCGGGCGCGGCGCUGAGGGAGGAGGCGGCGGCGCUGAGGGGAGCGAGGGGCGGAAUGCCGGGCACGAAAAGGAGGUUGUGGGACAGCUGAGGGUCGGUAUCUGCUGCCAGGCAGCCAGUGAUAGGAGAACGGGGUAUGGUCUCAAGCUGCGCCAUGGGAGGCUCAGGCAACCUUUGGGCCCUGGCAGGGGCUCUCAGGUGUCCCUGCAGCCUUCUCUUGUGCAGGGGAGCAGCCCCAGCUGUGCCAGGCUGGCUCCAGAGCAGAGGGCUCCAGCCCCUAGAGCAUCAUCAUCCUCCAGAUUCAGUGUGAUCAGUCCCAGGAGCAUCACGCCUGCAGCCUGGACACACCAGCUCUGCAAGUGAGGAGCACCCUCAGCUGCCUUGGAGAGUUGGAUGCUAAACACAGAGCCAAGCUCCAGGACACUGCCCCACUCAUCCUUUCCCAGCCUAAAUUCCUUGUUUAGGACCCAGCUGUUCUUUUCCAAACAAUGCUUAAAUA